Molecule: transfer RNA, 76 nt
Filed under: Sphingomonas sp.
Lineage: Bacteria; Pseudomonadati; Pseudomonadota; Alphaproteobacteria; Sphingomonadales; Sphingomonadaceae
Also listed under: 2 other names
Description: tRNA-Glu
Rfam family: tRNA
About the family: Transfer RNA (tRNA) molecules are approximately 80 nucleotides in length.
Source: RNAcentral
GGCCCCAUCGUCUAGUGGUCUAGGACGUCGCCCUUUCACGGCGAAAACACGGGUUCGAGUCCCGUUGGGGUCACCA